This 214-nucleotide ribosomal RNA is filed under the name uncultured bacterium. RNAcentral describes it as "partial 16S ribosomal RNA". It matches the Rfam family "Bacterial small subunit ribosomal RNA", at positions 28 to 234 of the family's 1533-position model. The record is from RNAcentral.
GACGAACGCUGGCGGCGCGCUUAACACAUGCAAGUCGAGCGGUAAGGCCCUUUCGGGGUACGACGAGCGGCGAACGGGUAGAGUAACACGUGGGUGGACCUCGCCCUCCAGCUCUGGGAGUAAGCCUCGGGAAACCGGGGUACUAAUACUGGAUAUGACUCCAUGACGCAUGUUGGUGGGGUGGAAAGCCUUGUGCGGCUGAGGAUGGGCCCGC